This 1342-nucleotide ribosomal RNA is filed under the name uncultured bacterium. RNAcentral describes it as "16S ribosomal RNA". It matches the Rfam family "Bacterial small subunit ribosomal RNA", at positions 28 to 1378 of the family's 1533-position model. The record is from RNAcentral.
GACGAACGCUGGCGGCGUGCUUAACACAUGCAAGUCGAACGGAAAGGCCCUGCUUUUGUGGGGUGCUCGAGUGGCGAACGGGUGAGUAACACGUGAGUAACCUGCCCUUGACUUUGGGAUAACUUCAGGAAACUGGGGCUAAUACCGGAUAGGAGCUCCUGCUGCAUGGUGGGGGUUGGAAAGUUUCGGCGGUUGGGGAUGGACUCGCGGCUUAUCAGCUUGUUGGUGGGGUAGUGGCUUACCAAGGCUUUGACGGGUAGCCGGCCUGAGAGGGUGACCGGCCACAUUGGGACUGAGAUACGGCCCAGACUCCUACGGGAGGCAGCAGUGGGGAAUAUUGCACAAUGGGCGGAAGCCUGAUGCAGCAACGCCGCGUGCGGGAUGACGGCCUUCGGGUUGUAAACCGCUUUCGCCUGUGACGAAGCGUGAGUGACGGUAAUGGGUAAAGAAGCACCGGCUAACUACGUGCCAGCAGCCGCGGUGAUACGUAGGGUGCGAGCGUUGUCCGGAUUUAUUGGGCGUAAAGGGCUCGUAGGUGGUUGAUCGCGUCGGAAGUGUAAUCUGGGGGCUUAACCCUGAGCGUGCUUUCGAUACGGGUUGACUUGAGGAUUUAGGGGAGAAUGGAAUUCCUGGUGGAGCGGUGGAAUGCGCAGAUAUCAGGAGGAACACCAGUGGCGAAGGCGGUUCUCUGGGCCUUUCCUGACGCUGAGGAGCGAAAGCGUGGGGAGCGAACAGGCUUAGAUACCCUGGUAGUCCACGCUGUAAACGGUGGGUACUAGGUGUGGGGUCCAUUCCACGGGUUCCGUGCCGUAGCUAACGCUUUAAGUACCCCGCCUGGGGAGUACGGCCGCAAGGCUAAAACUCAAAGGAAUUGACGGGGCCCCGCACAAGCGGCGGAGCAUGCGGAUUAAUUCGAUGCAACGCGUAGAACCUUACCUGGGUUUGACAUGGAUCGGGAGUGCUCAGAGAUGGGUGUGCCUCUUUUGGGGUCGGUUCACAGGUGGUGCAUGGCUGUCGUCAGCUCGUGUCGUGAGAUGUUGGGUUAAGUCCCGCAACGAGCGCAACCCUUGUUCACUGUUGCCAGCACGUUAUGGUGGGGACUCAGUGGAGACCGCCGGGGUCAACUCGGAGGAAGGUGGGGAUGACGUCAAGUCAUCAUGCCCCUUAUGUCCAGGGCUUCACGCAUGCUACAAUGGCUGGUACAGAGAGUGGCGAGCCUGUGAGGGUGAGCGAAUCUCGGAAAGCCGGUCUCAGUUCGGAUUGGGGUCUGCAACUCGACCUCAUGAAGUCGGAGUCGCUAGUAAUCGCAGAUCAGCAACGCUGCGGUGAAAAAGUUCCCGGG